RNAcentral lists this ribosomal RNA (400 nucleotides) under uncultured bacterium. RNAcentral describes it as "bacterial SSU rRNA". It matches the Rfam family "Bacterial small subunit ribosomal RNA", at positions 356 to 773 of the family's 1533-position model. The record is from RNAcentral.
GGGGAAUAUUGGACAAUGGGCGAAAGCCUGAUCCAGCAAUGCCGCGUGAGUGAUGAAGGCCUUAGGGUUGUAAAGCUCUUUUACCCGGGAUGAUAAUGACAGUACCGGGAGAAUAAGCCCCGGCUAACUCCGUGCCAGCAGCCGCGGUAAUACGUAGGGGGCGAGCGUUGUCCGGAGUUACUGGGCGUAAAGGGCACGCAGGCGGUGCGGCGCGUUUCGCGUGACAGCGGAGGGCUUACCUCUCCGAGGAUGCGAAAGACGGCGGCACUUGAGGGCCAGAGAGGGACACGGAAUUCCGGGUGGAGUGGUGAAAUGCGUAGAGAUCCGGAGGAACACCGAAGGCGAAGGCAGUGUCCUGGCUGGUGACUGACGCUGAGGUGCGAAAGCUAGGGGAGCGAAC